GCAGACACAUUCCAGCCAAUCAGCAGCAGACCCUCCCUCCAGACCCUCCCACCUCCUGGACAGCAUCCAUUUUACAUUCAUUGUGAAGCUGCAUUCGUAGUGAGCUGUCCAGGAGGUGGGAGGGUCUGGGAGGGAGGGUCUGCUGCUGAUUGGCUGGAAUGUGUUUG
This is a non-coding RNA of Pelobates cultripes (western spadefoot toad), 167 nucleotides long. The record is from the annotation of a GenBank genome assembly. NCBI's taxonomy places the organism in Eukaryota, Metazoa, Chordata, Amphibia, Anura, Pelobatidae.